AGAACGAACGCUGGCGGCAGGCCUAACACAUGCAAGUCGAACGAGAAGCCACCUUCGGGUGGUGGACAGUGGCAGACGGGUGAGUAACGCGUGGGAACGUGCCUUUCGGUUCGGGAUAACCCAGGGAAACUUGGGCUAAUACCGGAUACGCCCUUCGGGGGAAAGAUUCAUUGCCGAAAGAUCGGCCCGCGUCGGAUUAGCUAGUUGGUGGGGUAAAAGCCUACCAAGGCGACGAUCCGUAGCUGGUCUGAGAGGAUGACCAGCCACACUGGGACUGAGACACGGCCCAGACUCCUACGGGAGGCAGCAGUGGGGAAUAUUGGACAAUGGGCGCAAGCCUGAUCCAGCCAUGCCGCGUGGGUGAAGAAGGCCUUAGGGUUGUAAACCCCUUUCAGCGGGGAAGAUAAUGACGGUACCCGCAGAAGAAGUCCCGGCUAACUCCGUGCCAGCAGCCGC
Molecule: ribosomal RNA, 456 nt
Filed under: uncultured bacterium
Lineage: Bacteria
Description: SSU rRNA
Rfam family: Bacterial small subunit ribosomal RNA
Source: RNAcentral